This 460-nucleotide ribosomal RNA is filed under the name uncultured bacterium. RNAcentral's name for it is "partial 16S ribosomal RNA". It matches the Rfam family "Bacterial small subunit ribosomal RNA", at positions 338 to 795 of the family's 1533-position model. The record is from RNAcentral.
CCUACGGGAGGCAGCAGUGAGGAAUAUUGGUCAAUGGACGAGAGUCUGAACCAGCCAAGUAGCGUGAAGGAUGACUGCCCUAUGGGUUGUAAACUUCUUUUAUAUGGGAAUAAAAUGUUCCACGUGUGGGAUUUUGUAUGUACCAUAAGAAUAAGGAUCGGCCAACUCCGUGCCAGCAGCCGCGGUAAUACGGAGGAUCCGAGCGUUAUCCGGAUUUAUUGGGUUUAAAGGGAGCGUAGGUGGAUUGUUAAGUCAGUUGUGAAAGUUUGCGGCUCAACCGUAAAAUUGCAGUUGAAACUGGCAGUCUUGAGUACAGUAGAGGUGGGCGGAAGUCGUGGUGUAGCGGUGAAAUGCUUAGAUAUCACGAAGAACACCGAUUGCGAAGGCAGUUCACUGGACUGCAACUGACACUGAGGCUCGAAAGUGUGGGUAUCAAACAGGAUUAGAUACCCUAGUAGUC